GCAAGGACGAAACGAGCCCAACAGAGAGCUCCCGUUCUUCGGCGUUUCGGGGAGGAAACGCCCGCCUAGAUCGAAUGAUCGAGAAAAUAGCCAGCCCGUCGCGAUUAUCCCCCGCGACGGGUUUGGUGUAUCUGGG
Non-coding RNA from Caulobacter segnis ATCC 21756, 136 nucleotides. Lineage: Bacteria; Pseudomonadati; Pseudomonadota; Alphaproteobacteria; Caulobacterales; Caulobacteraceae. The record is from Rfam.